UAUACGACUCUCGGCAACGGAUAUCUCGGCUCUCGCAUCGAUGAAGAACGUAGCGAAAUGCGAUACUUGGUGUGAAUUGCAGAAUCCCGUGAACCAUCGAGUCUUUGAACGCAAGUUGCGCCCGAGGCCUUUCGGUUGAGGGCACGCCUGCCUGGGCAUCACGC
Molecule: ribosomal RNA, 164 nt
Filed under: Lilium superbum
Lineage: Eukaryota; Viridiplantae; Streptophyta; Magnoliopsida; Liliales; Liliaceae
Also listed under: 1 other name
Description: 5.8S ribosomal RNA
Rfam family: 5.8S ribosomal RNA
About the family: 5.8S ribosomal RNA (5.8S rRNA) is a component of the large subunit of the eukaryotic ribosome. It is transcribed by RNA polymerase I as part of the 45S precursor that also contains 18S and 28S rRNA.
Source: RNAcentral